Oncorhynchus tshawytscha (Chinook salmon) is the source of this 344-nucleotide long non-coding RNA. NCBI's taxonomy places the organism in Eukaryota, Metazoa, Chordata, Actinopteri, Salmoniformes, Salmonidae. The record is from Ensembl.
AUUUGAACUGUAUUGAUGUGGUACUAAUGACAUGUGGCCCAGAAGAUUGUGGACAUUUUAAGGCCUUUGUUUGUCUAUGACCCCCCACCAUUCAUACCCUCUGCACUCCUCCACUGGGAGGUAAUACAGAUGACUGUAAAUCCUCUCUUGUUGAUGACUGGGUUCUUUCUUGUAUAUUAUUUCUAUGAAGUUGCCGUUAAAUUGCUCUGCCAUUAUUAUUGUAUGAGGUAUUAUUGGUGGGGUUCCCCCUGUGCUGUGAUGGGUGUUUUAUAUGAUGAGUCUUAUCUUUUCUCUCCACUGGCUAUCUGGCUAACAGGCUACACUCUAGACAGUCUCUUCUGCUG